AGAGUGAACGCUGGCGGCAGGCCUAAUACAUGCAAGUCGAACGGCAGCACAGCAGAGCUUGCUCUGUGGGUGGCGAGUGGCGGACGGGUGAGGAAUACAUGGGAAUCUGCCCAGUCGUGGGGGAUAACGUAGGGAAACUUACGCUAAUACCGCAUGCGCCCUUCGGGGGAAAGCCGGGGACCUUCGGGCCUGGCGCGAUUGGAUGAGCCCAUGUCGGAUUAGCUAGUUGGCGGGGUAAAGGCCCACCAAGGCGACGAUCCGUAGCUGGUCUGAGAGGAUGAUCAGCCACACUGGAACUGAGACACGGUCCAGACUCCUACGGGAGCAGCAGUAGGGAAUAUUGGACAAUGGGACGCAAGCCUGAUCCAGCCAUGCCGCGUGUGUGAAGAAGGCCUUGGUUGUAAGCACUUCUGUACCGAAAGAAAGCGCUAGGUUAACACCCUGGUGUCCUGACCGGUACCGGAAGAAGUAAGACAACCGGCUAACGUUCCGUGCCAGACCG
This 502-nucleotide ribosomal RNA is filed under the name uncultured soil bacterium. RNAcentral describes it as "bacterial SSU rRNA". It matches the Rfam family "Bacterial small subunit ribosomal RNA", at positions 26 to 519 of the family's 1533-position model. The record is from RNAcentral.